CCUACGGGUGGCAGCAGUGGGGGAUAUUGCACAAUGGGGGAAACCCUGAUGCAGCAACGCCGCGUGUGGGAAGAAGGUUUUCGGAUUGUAAACCACUGUUCUUGGUGAAGAUAAUGACGGUAACCAAGGAGAAAGCUCCGGCUAACUACGUGCCAGCAGCCGCGGUAAUACGUAGGGAGCAAGCGUUGUCCGGAUUUACUGGGUGUAAAGGGUGCGGAGGCGGUCUUGCAAGUCAGACGUGAAAACCACAGGCUCAACCUGUGGACUGCGUUUGAAACUGUGGGGCUUGAGUGAAGUAGAGGUAGGCGGAAUUCCCGGUGUAGCGGUGAAAUGCGUAGAGAUCGGGAGGAACACCAGUGGCGAAGGCAGCAUGCCGGCUCCACACUGACGCUGAGGCACGAAAGCGUGGGUAUCGAACAGGAUUAGAUACCCCUGUAGUC
Molecule: ribosomal RNA, 440 nt
Filed under: uncultured bacterium
Lineage: Bacteria
Description: partial 16S ribosomal RNA
Rfam family: Bacterial small subunit ribosomal RNA
Source: RNAcentral